RNAcentral lists this ribosomal RNA (467 nucleotides) under uncultured bacterium. RNAcentral describes it as "partial 16S ribosomal RNA". It matches the Rfam family "Bacterial small subunit ribosomal RNA", at positions 28 to 507 of the family's 1533-position model. The record is from RNAcentral.
GACGAACGCUGGCGGCGUGCUUAACACAUGCAAGUCGAACGGAAAGGCCUCUUUCGGGGGGUACUCGAGUGGCGAACGGGUGAGUAACACGUGAUUAACCUGCCCUUGACUUUGGGAUAACUUCAGGAAACUGGGGCUAAUACCGGAUAUGAGCUCCUGCUGCAUGGUGGGGGUUGGACAGUUUCGGCGGUUGGGGAUGGACUCGCGGCUUAUCAGCUUGUUGGUGGGGUAGUGGCUUACCAAGGCUUUGACGGGUAGCCGGCCUGAGAGGGUGACCGGCCACAUUGGGACUGAGAUACGGCCCAGACGCCUACGGGAGGCAGCAGGGGGGAAGAUUGCACAAUGGGUGGAAGCCUGAUGCAGCAACGCCGUGUGCGGGAUGACGGCCUUCGGGUUGUAAAACGCUUUCGCUCAUGACGAAGCUUUGUGUGACGGUAGUGGGUAAAGAAGCACCGGCUAACUACGUG